RNAcentral lists this ribosomal RNA (465 nucleotides) under Vreelandella stevensii. RNAcentral describes it as "partial 16S ribosomal RNA". It matches the Rfam family "Bacterial small subunit ribosomal RNA", at positions 338 to 795 of the family's 1533-position model. The record is from RNAcentral. Lineage: Bacteria; Pseudomonadati; Pseudomonadota; Gammaproteobacteria; Oceanospirillales; Halomonadaceae.
CCUACGGGUGGCAUCCUUGGGGAAUAUUGGACAAUGGGGGCAACCCUGAUCCAGCCAUGCCGCGUGUGUGAAGAAGGCCCUCGGGUUGUAAAGCACUUUCAGUGAGGAAGAACGCCUGGUGGUUAAUACCCAUCAGGAAAGACAUCACUCACAGAAGAAGCACCGGCUAACUCCGUGCCAGCAGCCGCGGUAAUACGGAGGGUGCGAGCGUUAAUCGGAAUUACUGGGCGUAAAGCGCGCGUAGGUGGCUUGAUAAGCCGGUUGUGAAAGCCCCGGGCUCAACCUGGGAACGGCAUCCGGAACUGUCAAGCUAGAGUGCAGGAGAGGAAGGUAGAAUUCCCGGUGUAGCGGUGAAAUGCGUAGAGAUCGGGAGGAAUACCAGUGGCGAAGGCGGCCUUCUGGACUGACACUGACACUGAGGUGCGAAAGCGUGGGUAGCAAACAGGAUUAGAUACCCGUGUAGUC